RNAcentral lists this transfer RNA (61 nucleotides) under Urocitellus parryii (Arctic ground squirrel). RNAcentral describes it as "Spermophilus parryii (Arctic ground squirrel) tRNA". It matches the Rfam family "tRNA", at positions 6 to 65 of the family's 71-position model. Rfam says of the family: Transfer RNA (tRNA) molecules are approximately 80 nucleotides in length. RNAcentral also lists the same sequence under 2 other names. Lineage: Eukaryota; Metazoa; Chordata; Mammalia; Rodentia; Sciuridae. The record is from Rfam by way of RNAcentral.
UGUAGCUCAGUGGUGGAGCACUUGCCUAGCAUGCAGGAAACCCUGGGUUCCAUCCACAGCA